Molecule: ribosomal RNA, 253 nt
Filed under: uncultured bacterium
Lineage: Bacteria
Description: partial 16S ribosomal RNA
Rfam family: Bacterial small subunit ribosomal RNA
Source: RNAcentral
UACGAAGGGGGCUAGCGUUGCUCGGAAUCACUGGGCGUAAAGCGCACGUAGGCGGUCUUUUAAGUCAGGGGUGAAAUCCUGGAGCUCAACUCCAGAACUGCCUUUGAUACUGAAGAUCUUGAGUUCGGGAGAGGUGAGUGGAACUGCGAGUGUAGAGGUGAAAUUCGUAGAUAUUCGCAAGAACACCAGUGGCGAAGGCGGCUCACUGGCCCGAUACUGACGCUGAUGCACGAAAGCGUGGGGAGCAAACAGG